RNAcentral lists this long non-coding RNA (249 nucleotides) under Neogale vison (American mink). RNAcentral describes it as "Neovison vison (American mink) lncRNA (ENSNVIG00000016732.1)". Lineage: Eukaryota; Metazoa; Chordata; Mammalia; Carnivora; Mustelidae. The record is from RNAcentral.
UGGAUGCAUAUGCCAUUUCCAGAGAGUGAGAUGACAAAUUAUUUUUAAGUCAGUGGUUCUCCAUUGCUACCUGUCGCCUUUUGGACGCCCUUGCAGAUUACUUCUUGGGAACUCUUGGGUAUGAGUGAUACCAGUAAAUCUCUGAAACAAGACUCUUCAGACAAGGAGACUGUGGUCUGAGGACCACGCUUUGAAGGUGGUGACCACCAAUAUGAGGUCGAUUUGUUAUUGUGGGUGCCAUUACUUCUA